AACAUAAUUGAUAUUGGAGAGAUGAAAGAGAGAGAAGAAAUGUCUCAAUUUUAAAGCAUGCUUUGUGCUAGUGGCCUAGAAUGUUAUGAACUUUUAC
Long non-coding RNA from Strigops habroptila (Kakapo), 97 nucleotides. RefSeq lists it as uncharacterized. The transcript has 2 exons. Lineage: Eukaryota; Metazoa; Chordata; Aves; Psittaciformes; Psittacidae. The record is from RefSeq and is a predicted model, not a curated record.